UGUGUGACGUCACAGCCUGCUGCCUGCCACUAGUGUCACACGUGAAAUCCUACACCCACACACACACAUUGCGCUGCCUGCGUCGUCGCAAGUCUGUUUCCUCGCCUGCUCCUGGGAGAGGCAUGGAUUGGAAUGAUCUUGGGGCCAUGAAACGGACAUGGAUGGAGGCUGCAGUGAUAACCGAAGUGUGUGUGACAGCAGCAUGCGCCUAGCCGCAGCAGGCAGCACGAGACGUCAUUGGGCAGCAGUGAGCAGCAGCGCAGCAAGUCUUGCCUGGUCGCAGCAAGUCUUGCCUGGUCGCAGCAAGUCUUGCCUGGUCGCAGCAAGUCGCGCCUGGUCGCAGCAAGUCGCGCCUGGUCGCAGCAAGUCGCGCCUGGUCGCAGCAAGUCGCGCCUGGUCGCAGCAAGUCGCGCCUGGUCGCAGCAAGUCGCGCCUGGUCGCAGCAAGUCGCGCCUGGUCGCAGCAUUUGGCAUCCUGAGAAGGUAACGGAUGACAGACGCAGGACUGACGUGAAGACCUGGGGAUGUGCGUGACGAGAUGGACCCGGCUGAGUCCAGCUGCACACACGGAUACAAUUGAUGAGCUCUUGAGGAAGGCCUGGAAUAACCUUGGAGGUGGCAGAGAUGACUGGAGAGCUCAAAGUGUCAGGUAAAACGAUUAUCAUCUCCAGCCCCUAUGCAUCGAAAGAUUAGGGAGGAAAAGGCCAUCUUGCACUCAGCUGUGGAGAAGUGUAACAACAACAAGAAGAAUGAUUGACACUCAUCCUUAAACAUGGGUGGUGUGCUACGUAUCCAUGUUUUCCGGGAAACACUGUACAUGUGGUAGAAGAUGGCCGUCCUCGUGGGUGCUGAACAAAAAUAAAAUCCACUAUGCGUUGUUUUUAGUUUGCCGCUUCAUGGUUAACUUUUUUACUCUUUAAAAAAAUAAAGUAACACAGACACCCCA
Molecule: long non-coding RNA, 945 nt
Organism: Engraulis encrasicolus (European anchovy)
Lineage: Eukaryota; Metazoa; Chordata; Actinopteri; Clupeiformes; Engraulidae
Exons: 8
Source: RefSeq, a predicted model, not a curated record